GACGAACGCUGGCGGCGUGCCUAAUACAUGCAAGUAGAACGCUGAAGCGAGGAGCUUGCUCUUCUUGGAUGAGUUGCGAACGGGUGAGUAACGCGUAGGUAACCUGCCUUGUAGCGGGGGAUAACUAUUGGAAACGAUAGCUAAUACCGCAUAACAAUGGAUGACCCAUGUCAUUUAUUUGAAAGGGGCAAAUGCUCCACUACAAGAUGGACCUGCGUUGUCUUUGCUAGUAGGUGAGGUAACGGCUCACCUAGGCGACGAUACAUAGCCGACCUGAGAGGGUGAUCGGCCACACUGGGACUGGGACACGGCCCAGACUCCUACGGGAGGCAGCAGUAGGGAAUCUUCGGCAAUGGGGGCAACCCUGACCGAGCAACGCCGCGUGAGUGAAGAAGGUUUUCGGAUCGUAAAGCUCUGUUGUAAGUCAAGAACGAGUGUGGGAGUGGAAAGUUCACACUGUGACGGUAGCUUACCAGAAAGGGACGGCUAACUACGUG
This 497-nucleotide ribosomal RNA is filed under the name uncultured bacterium. Its description in RNAcentral is "partial 16S ribosomal RNA". It matches the Rfam family "Bacterial small subunit ribosomal RNA", at positions 28 to 507 of the family's 1533-position model. The record is from RNAcentral.